UAGGGAAUCUUCCGCAAUGGACGCAAGUCUGACGGAGCAACGCCGCGUUAGUGAAGAAGGAUUUCGGUUCGUAAAACUCUGUUGUUAGAGAAGAACAGCGCAUAGAGUAACUGUUAUGCGUGUGACGGUAUCUAACCAGAAAGCCACGGCUAACUACGUGCCAGCAGCCGCGGUAAUACGUAGGUGGCAAGCGUUGUCCGGAUUUAUUGGGCGUAAAGCGAGCGCAGGCGGUCAAUUAAGUUGGAUGUAAAAGCCCCCGGCUCAACCGGGGAGGGUCAUUGGAAACUGGUUGACUUAAGUGCAGAAGAGGAGAGUGGAAUUCCAUGUGUAGCGGUGAAAUGCGUGGAUAUAUGGAGGAACACCAGUGGCGAAGGCGACUCUCUGGUCUGUAACUACCGCUGAGGUUCGAAAGCGUGGGUAGCAAACAGG
Molecule: ribosomal RNA, 429 nt
Filed under: Bacteroidota bacterium
Lineage: Bacteria; Pseudomonadati; Bacteroidota
Description: Bacteroidetes bacterium partial 16S ribosomal RNA
Rfam family: Bacterial small subunit ribosomal RNA
Source: RNAcentral